UCAUAUUAAUGAAAAAAACAAAUUUUGUUAGUGAUUGAUCCUUGUGUUAGAGAUUUAAGGAUCACUAAAGAUCGAGGUUGUGUCGACACCUGAUUGGCUAGAGAGAAAUAUAUAUAUAUAUAUAUAUAUAUAUAUAUUUUAUUUUUCUUUCCCUCAUUCUCUCUUACGAUUGGUCCAACGCCUUUGUCCGUCGUCAUCACCAUCUCCACCGCCUGUGCAACCAGCGACGAUUCAAGUGGCGAAAUAAGUGUCUUUGGUUCAAUGGAUGAUGAAUUGGCUUUGUGUUUUUGGAUCCGAUCACUAGCAGUUUAACAAUGGAUGAUGAAUUGGCUUUGUGUUUUUGGAUCCGAUCACUAAGACUGAAGACUGCAGUUUCUGUUUUUUUGUUCCUGCAGGUUUUGGUUUUAAAAACUGCAGUUUCUGUUUUGAAUACUUUCAGGUUUUGGUUUUUAAACUGUAGGAUUUGAUUUUAAAAACUGCAGGUUCUGUUUAGUGUUCUUGCAGGUUUUUGUUUUGAAAACUGCAGUUUCUAUUUUGAAUACUUUCAUGCUUUGGUUUUUAAAACUGCAGGUUCUUCUUACAAAUUGGACGUUUUGCUGCCACCGAGAUUCAGAUUUGAGGGAAGUUUUGCAGUUGGUGCUAGUUCCCAAACUCUUCUCGCAAAAGGGCAUAGCGUGAGAAUGUGGAGUAUGGAUUAUUCAGCUUCACAGAUUCUUUCUCAUUCUUUUAUGCCAUGUUUGUUUAAACUUUUAUUGAAUGCAAUAUUUUUAAGUUUUUAAAA
Molecule: non-coding RNA, 781 nt
Organism: Camelina sativa (false flax)
Lineage: Eukaryota; Viridiplantae; Streptophyta; Magnoliopsida; Brassicales; Brassicaceae
Source: RefSeq, a predicted model, not a curated record